AGCUCCAAUAGCGUAUAUUAAAGUUGUUGCAGUUAGAACGCUCGUAGUCGGAUUUCGGGGCGGGCCGACCGGUCUGCCGAUGGGUACGCACUGGUCGGCGCGUCCUUCCUUCCGGAGACUGUUCCUACUCUUAACUGAGCGGGAAUUGUAUACGGAUCGUUUACUUUGAAAAAAUCAGAGUGUUUCAAGCAGGCAGCUCGCUCUUGCAUGGAUUAGCAUGGGAUAAUGAAAUAGGACUUUGGUG
RNAcentral lists this ribosomal RNA (244 nucleotides) under uncultured eukaryote. Its description in RNAcentral is "partial small subunit ribosomal RNA". It matches the Rfam family "Eukaryotic small subunit ribosomal RNA", at positions 587 to 835 of the family's 1831-position model. The record is from RNAcentral.